RNAcentral lists this ribosomal RNA (1435 nucleotides) under uncultured bacterium. RNAcentral describes it as "16S ribosomal RNA". It matches the Rfam family "Bacterial small subunit ribosomal RNA". The record is from RNAcentral.
GCUUAACACACGCAAGUCGAGGGGCAUCAUGCUUAUAGCAAUAUAAGUGAUGGCGACCGGCGCACGGGUGAGUAACACGUAUCCAACCUGCCGUCUACUCUUGGACAGCCUUCUGAAAGGAAGAUUAAUACAAGAUGGCAUCAUGAGUCCGCAUGUUCACAUGAUUAAAGGUAUUCCGGUAGACGAUGGGGAUGCGUUCCAUUAGAUAGUAGGCGGGGUAACGGCCCACCUAGUCUUCGAUGGAUAGGGGUUCUGAGAGGAAGGUCCCCCACAUUGGAACUGAGACACGGUCCAAACUCCUACGGGAGGCAGCAGUGAGGAAUAUUGGUCAAUGGGCGAGAGCUUGAACCAGCCAAGUAGCGUGAAGGAUGACUGCCCUAUGGGUUGUAAACUUCUUUUAUAAAGGAAUAAAGUCGGGUAUGGAUACCCGUUUGCAUGUACUUUAUGAAUAAGGAUCGGCUAACUCCGUGCCAGCAGCCGCGGUAAUACGGAGGAUCCGAGCGUUAUCCGGAUUUAUUGGGUUUAAAGGGAGCGUAGAUGGAUGUUUAAGUCAGUUGUGAAAGUUUGCGGCUCAACCGUAAAAUUGCAGUUGAUACUGGAUAUCUUGAGUGCAGUUGAGGCAGGCGGAAUUCGUGGUGUAGCGGUGAAAUGCUUAGAUAUCACGAAGAACUCCGAUUGCGAAGGCAGCCUGCUAAGCUGCAACUGACAUUGAGGCUCGAAAGUGUGGGUAUCAAACAGGAUUAGAUACCCUGGUAGUCCACACGGUAAACGAUGAAUACUCGCUGUUUGCGAUAUACUGCAAGCGGCCAAGCGAAAGCGUUAAGUAUUCCACCUGGGGAGUACGCCGGCAACGGUGAAACUCAAAGGAAUUGACGGGGGCCCGCACAAGCGGAGGAACAUGUGGUUUAAUUCGAUGAUACGCGAGGAACCUUACCCGGGCUUAAAUUGCAGAUGAAUUACGGUGAAAGCCGUAAGCCGCAAGGCAUCUGUGAAGGUGCUGCAUGGUUGUCGUCAGCUCGUGCCGUGAGGUGUCGGCUUAAGUGCCAUAACGAGCGCAACCCUUGUUGUCAGUUACUAACAGGUUCCGCUGAGGACUCUGACAAGACUGCCAUCGUAAGAUGUGAGGAAGGUGGGGAUGACGUCAAAUCAGCACGGCCCUUACGUCCGGGGCUACACACGUGUUACAAUGGGGGGUACAGAGGGCCGCUACCACGCGAGUGGAUGCCAAUCCCCAAAACCUCUCUCAGUUCGGACUGGAGUCUGCAACCCGACUCCACGAAGCUGGAUUCGCUAGUAAUCGCGCAUCAGCCACGGCGCGGUGAAUACGUUCCCGGGCCUUGUACACACCGCCCGUCAAGCCAUGGGAGCCGGGGGUACCUGAAGUGCGUAACCGCGAGGAGCGCCCUAGGGUAAAACUGGUGACUGGGGCUAAGUC